This 391-nucleotide unclassified non-coding RNA is filed under the name soil metagenome. Its description in RNAcentral is "partial contains 5.8S ribosomal RNA, internal transcribed spacer 2, and large subunit ribosomal RNA". The stretch from base 1 to 122 matches the Rfam family "5.8S ribosomal RNA", at positions 35 to 154 of the family's 154-position model. The record is from RNAcentral.
GAUGAAGAACGCAGCGAAAUGCGAUACUUGGUGUGAAUUGCAGAAUCCCGUGAACCAUCGAGUCUUUGAACGCAAGUUGCGCCCGAAGCCACUAGGCCGAGGGCACGCCUGCCUGGGCGUCACACGCCGUUGCCCCCCCAUCUACUCCUUCGGGAUUGCGGGGGGGCGGAUGAUGGCCUCCCGUGCGCCUAGCCGCGCGGUUGGCAUAAAUACCAAGUCCUCGGCGACGCACGCCACGACAAUCGGUGGCUGCGAAACCUCGGUUGCCCGUCGUGUGCGUUCGUCGCGCAUCGAGGGCUCGAAAAAAUGCUCGGCUCCGGCUGGGCUUUCAACGCGACCCCAGGUCAGGCGGGGUUACCCGCUGAAUUUAAGCAUAUCAAUAAGCGGAGGA